GGAGUUAGGAAAUGUAGGCAUGCUAAUAUCGUGUCUAUUUGACAAAGGCUCCAAAGGAAGCCACGGCUAACUCUGUGCCAGCAGCCGCGGUAAUACAGAGGUGGCAAGCGUUGUUCGGAAUUAUUGGGCGUAAAGAGCACGUAGGUGGAUUUGUAAGUCAGAUGUGAAAGCCUUCUGUUCAACGGGAGAAUUGCAUCUGAAACUACAAACCUU
Molecule: ribosomal RNA, 213 nt
Filed under: uncultured anaerobic ammonium-oxidizing bacterium
Lineage: Bacteria
Description: partial 16S ribosomal RNA
Rfam family: Bacterial small subunit ribosomal RNA
Source: RNAcentral